Molecule: long non-coding RNA, 792 nt
Organism: Chiroxiphia lanceolata (lance-tailed manakin)
Lineage: Eukaryota; Metazoa; Chordata; Aves; Passeriformes; Pipridae
Exons: 3
Source: RefSeq, a predicted model, not a curated record
GGGUCGGGGCGGGGGGAGGCGCCGCAGCCGCGCAGACGGCAACAGCGGUCGGCUCUGCGGGAGCAGGUCCCUCCGCAGCGCGAUCCGCUCGCUGAGCACUUCGUUAAAGCCGUGGGUCUCCAGGCCGAGCGGCCGCUCCCCCGGAGCAGCCCCUUCCCCAGCCUGCAGGGGUAGGGACAGCGGCAGGGACUCAGGGUCCCCCUCCGCCUUCCCCUCUGGCCGCCUGCUCUGCUGCUUCACCACGCGAUAGCCCUUCCUGGCCUUGCUGUGGUUCCUUUUGCCCGUGGGCGACACGACGGCCACGAUCAGCUCAUCCUCCCGCAGGGAGAUGAAAGGCGAUAGACCAUCCAAAGGUUUCCUUCCAGAUAGAUCCUGCUUCUUCAAAGUUUCCAAUUGCUGCCCGGAUUGAAGCACUGUAUCUCUGAAAGCAGAUCUGACAGCUCUCCUCCGUUCAGAGGCUUUAACUUAACUGUGAUCAACAGAUGAGAACUAGUCGGUCCGUGACUUUGUUUCACACACAACUACGGCACUCAGUCAGGAAGCACUUUGCCAGAUAUAAUACAGAGCAAUGUGUGUGUCUUUCUCUUGGUCCUAAUGCCCUCGCUGUGCUUGUCCUAUCAAAUCAAAACUUUGCAAAAGCUGUAAGAGGUGAAAUACAAGAAAAAAACCAUUGUAUUAGAAAAGAAAUCAGAGCACACCAUCGAUUGCUGUGCUUCUGAGUAGCUGUAUUAGACUGAGAAUGCUUGGAGCAAGAAGCAAGAAUUUUAUAAACUGAAUAAAAGAUGGAGUGCA